Brassica napus (rape) is the source of this 1042-nucleotide long non-coding RNA. RefSeq lists it as uncharacterized. The transcript has 5 exons. Lineage: Eukaryota; Viridiplantae; Streptophyta; Magnoliopsida; Brassicales; Brassicaceae. The record is from RefSeq and is a predicted model, not a curated record.
ACCGAACAUUAAAAGUUUGUUUUUGUCGUUCAUUAAGAAAUACAAAUUUCUCUUUCUUCGAUCUCUUUUUCCUGCAACACCUAAAGCGGUCGGGGAUUUGCAAGAUCAAACUCGCUUCGUACAGCUUCGAUAUCUCUGAUUCAGCAAUCAUCGAGCAGCCUCAACGCCAAGUCCCUCCCUCGCCCUUCUGUAGACAUUCGCGCUGUUUUGAUUUGCGAUGACGAUGUGGAGGUAGACAAAAAGUCGCUGGAGUUCGCGUUAUCCGUGUGGAAGUCAAACCCUGAUCGUUUAAUAGGGGCAUGUUUGUUGGAAGUUUUUGAUCAUAUCGAGGUUUGAUAAGUGGGUGAGGAAAGUAGCUGCCUCUGCAAUAGCACCAAGCUUGAAGCUUUAUGAAAAGGUUCAAGAUUUGGGGUUAUCUUGCUUACAGGGCGAAGAGAGAACGACACGGUUAUCGCUAUCAAGAACCUGAGCAAUGCCGGUUUCAAUAACUGGGACGAGCUUAUUCUGAGAAUGUGACAGCAGCUUUGAAUGUUUAUUUUCAAGAUCCUGGAUUUUAGCUUGUGUUCCCACAUUAUCUCUAGCACCCGUUGAAGCUGAUCCUGAGAAAGAUGAGGUGACUUCAAGCUCUUCGGAUUUAAGUUUCUUGGUUGUGGGAUUCAAGUUGCUCACUCAUCCUGUAUAUCCAGUGCUGCUCACUUAUCCUGAACUCAUUGAUGCUGCAGUGAUCCCAUUUACUGAAAGAUUGAGAAUCGUACAGAGACUAAAGUCAAUCAGUGGCAUCAAUAUAACAAUAUGAUGACAUUUACACACAGAGAACAACAUUCAGUCAAUAUCCAUGAUGACCCAGAUAAAUCCAAGUUUAUGGGGAUGGAGACUAACAAACUACAUCGAGUAAAUCUAAAGUCUUCAUAUUGCUGUGCUGUUCGUAACUUUGUUUGGGAUCCAAAAUCUAAAACAUGGACACUGAAUGUAGAGCUAUUGACCACUACUCAUAUACUUCUUAAUAAAAGAUAAUAAAAGUAAAACAAUUACUUGACCACUA